CAACACCAACGCGGGAGCUCGCGCCAUGGCGGGCUGAGAGGGCGACUUGCGUCACGCAGGCGUCGCCGACCGCAUGAACCUGACCGGGUAAUGCCGGCGUAGGGAGUGAAAGUCGUUGACGA
Amycolatopsis australiensis is the source of this 122-nucleotide non-coding RNA. The record is from Rfam. Lineage: Bacteria; Bacillati; Actinomycetota; Actinomycetes; Pseudonocardiales; Pseudonocardiaceae.